GGCUGGUUAGCUCAGUCGGUUGAGCAUGGUGCUCAUAACACCAAGGUUGCAGUUCGAUCUCUGUUCGGUCC
This 71-nucleotide transfer RNA is filed under the name Apaloderma vittatum (bar-tailed trogon). It matches the Rfam family "tRNA". Rfam says of the family: Transfer RNA (tRNA) molecules are approximately 80 nucleotides in length. Their secondary structure includes four short double-helical elements and three loops (D, anti-codon, and T loops). Lineage: Eukaryota; Metazoa; Chordata; Aves; Trogoniformes; Trogonidae. The record is from Rfam by way of RNAcentral.